GUCUAUGUCCAUAUCACCUUGAACAUGCCUGAUCUCCUCUGAUCUCAGAAGCUAAGCAGGGUCGGGCCUGGUUAGUACUUGGAUGGGAGAAAAAAAAAGAGCAUACUUA
RNAcentral lists this ribosomal RNA (109 nucleotides) under Castor canadensis (American beaver). Lineage: Eukaryota; Metazoa; Chordata; Mammalia; Rodentia; Castoridae. The record is from RNAcentral.